This 650-nucleotide ribosomal RNA is filed under the name Boeckella fluvialis. RNAcentral's name for it is "partial large subunit ribosomal RNA". The record is from RNAcentral. Lineage: Eukaryota; Metazoa; Arthropoda; Copepoda; Calanoida; Centropagidae.
GUGAUUCCCUUAGUAAUGGCGAAUGAAACGGGAAGAGCCCAUCGUCGAAUCGCAAGUCAUCUCGGCUUUGUGAAAUGUGACGUUUGGGAGGGUCUUCCACGGCUCAGACGAUCAGUCCAAGUCCAACUUGACAGUGGCCACAGCCCAUAGAGGGUGAUAGGCCCGUAAGGCGGUUGUCUGGCUGUGCUGACCUCUCUCUAGAGUCGGAUUGCUUGGGAGUGCAGUCCAAAGUGCGAGGUAAACUCCUCGUAAGGCUAAAUAUAACCCCGAGACCGAUAGCAAACAAGUACAGUGAUGGAAAAUUGAAAAGAACUUUGAAGAGAGAGUUAAGAGUACGUGAAACUGUGUGGUGGUAAACGGAGGCGUUNCUCGAAGUGUCCGCGGGGGACUCAAGCUUGGUGGUNNGGGCAGCCGGCGCUCUCUGAUCAGCAAUGACUGGGCGCGUCGUGCAGGCUCGCCUCCCGGCCGCACUUUCCCCGCGGUUGACGGCAGGAACUGUUGGGACCGGAYCAAAGGCCUGGGAUGAAGUUGCCGGCCCUCACGGGCUUGUAGCUCCCGGUGUCCUGGCUUCGGGCCCGACGGGGUAUGAGUGGACUUGUAUAGCAAGCGACAGCCUGUUGCGGUUCACAUCUCUCUGCCGAGUAGGUCGG